Molecule: ribosomal RNA, 574 nt
Filed under: Enterococcus faecium
Lineage: Bacteria; Bacillati; Bacillota; Bacilli; Lactobacillales; Enterococcaceae
Description: bacterial SSU rRNA
Rfam family: Bacterial small subunit ribosomal RNA
Source: RNAcentral
ACGCUUCUUUUUCCACCGGAGCUUGCUCCACCGGAAAAAGAGGAGUGGCGAACGGGUGAGUAACACGUGGGUAACCUGCCCAUCAGAAGGGGAUAACACUUGGAAACAGGUGCUAAUACCGUAUAACAAUCAAAACCGCAUGGUUUUGAUUUGAAAGGCGCUUUCGGGUGUCGCUGAUGGAUGGACCCGCGGUGCAUUAGCUAGUUGGUGAGGUAACGGCUCACCAAGGCCACGAUGCAUAGCCGACCUGAGAGGGUGAUCGGCCACAUUGGGACUGAGACACGGCCCAAACUCCUACGGGAGGCAGCAGUAGGGAAUCUUCGGCAAUGGACGAAAGUCUGACCGAGCAACGCCGCGUGAGUGAAGAAGGUUUUCGGAUCGUAAAACUCUGUUGUUAGAGAAGAACAAGGAUGAGAGUAACUGUUCAUCCCUUGACGGUAUCUAACCAGAAAGCCACGGCUAACUACGUGCCAGCAGCCGCGGUAAUACGUAGGUGGCAAGCGUUGUCCGGAUUUAUUGGGCGUAAAGCGAGCGCAGGCGGUUUCUUAAGUCUGAUGUGAAAGCCCCCGGCUCA